GUAUGCAGAUACGAGUGUCAGCUAAAUAACACGAUUCAGAAUCUGCUGGUCUCUUGCAGAAUAAGACUUUUUAUAGUGUAGGAAAAUCUGCUUUCAAUUUCUAUUGUAAGGCGUUAUUUUAGUCAAUGAAAACAAAGUAUGCUUGGGAGGCUGCCUAGAAGACAUGUGAUUUCAGGGCAUUGCUAUUUUCUUUUUGAUGAGAAAAGAACUUGCUUUUUUCUUCUAUGUCAUGGUCGGAUAGAGUGAUGUAUUCAGUGUGGAUGGUGGGAAUUCAUUCCCACUCCUUUGAUACUCUCUACAUGGGGACUGAUUGAAUGGGGGAAGCUAUUUCCAUGUACAGCACUGAAGUUUUUUAUUUAAGCUAACUAAAAUUCAUGUAAACCACCUGAAUUCUGUUAGCCGGGUAAAAAUUGCAGUGUGAAUCUUGUUUCUGGUUAUGUGCAGUGUUCAAAUUAAGCUGGUUUUUAUUCAAAAUCAUUUAGGAGAGAACUGGGCAAUUCCUGGUAUAACUGAUGGACAGUGGGAAGCUGGACAUUUGUGUUACUUGCACUGCUGAUUAGCUUGGGGUGCAGCAAGGAAGCAGAAGUAGAAGUGGAUGAAAACAGAAACGUGGGAGUAUCACUGGCUGUGCAGUGAUUCCUAUUUACAGCAUAAAGGACUUCCUCUCUCUCCAUUUUCUACCCCCUUUUCCCUUUUGCCAGUGUUAAACUGCAAGAAUUGCAUGACCUCAUUUUGUUUCCUACGUGAUUUCUUGACCAAAUCUGUUGAGGUUUCCUGUGUUCUCAGUGUGGUGUCUUGUUUAGUGGUAGUAGGCGAACCUCAAAAGGUUCGGAUUGCAGAUGUAGAUCAGAUAAGCAAUGAAAUUAUCUAUUCAAAUUAAGCCUCAAGGGUCUGCAGUCUCAUCCUUCCUGCUCCUGGUUAUGUUGAAAAUGUCUCAAAGCCUUCUGUCCAGAUAUCCCCAGACACUGUGUGAGGUGUAAUGUUUGUGCUAUUUUAGAGUGAUAAACUUGUGGGUGAGAAAUGUCUUUUUUAUUUUUUCUUUCUUUGGAAUUUGACUAUUUUCAAAGUAUCCAUGCCUCUUCUGCUACAAGACCCUUGUUGCAGAACUUCUAAAACACUUUUACAAAUACCAAUGGAAUGGGCUGCACAUUUCUCUGAGCUAUAUCUACAAAGUCGCAAUACAACUCUUUUUCUCUUCACUGUUCAGAGCAAGAAACUGAGGUACAGGUGAGUUACUGACUGAGCCAGGAAAGAAUCCAGAUUCUUCCAGCUUUGUGUCAGCAGCAAGGCUAACUUUCCUCACAACAGCAGUUUCUUCCACUGCCCCAAUGCUUGUGUGUGCCAGCUGUUCCCAUUCCAAGCCAGAUGUGCUGUAGCACAAACCAGAAGUAAAUGUUAUGGGUAGCCUUCUCACAUUCCCCUAGAUUUGACCCUUAGAGAAAUACAUCAGAGGACUGUAGGUCAGCAUCACAUCUGCAAAGAGGGGAAAAAAAAGAAAAAGACUAUUUCAGAGAAUCCCAGCAUCCCCUGCAAUCUGCUGAGUCACACAGCACCACCAGGUGAGCAGGUCCUGAGUCAGAUCUGACAGCCCAUUUGGUUGUCCUUCUAACCAGCAUACUGCAAGUAUGCUUCUAAUUGAUAUCAAUGACAGGUUCUGGAGUGAGGUUGUUUGUUUGUUUGUGUUGCUGCUUGUGUAUGAAAUAACAGCCUCAUUCUUUCCAGGUUUUGCUCUGCUGGUUCCUGGGAGUGUGUUUACAAUAUCCUGCACUACAAUACUGUGGUGCUGCUGUCAGCUGUAGGACAUAGCUGUGUGUGUGGUUGAUUGCUGGAUGUGAAAGAUGGUGGCUGUGGUGCAAGCUCAUUCCCACCUGCCUAGCACAACCAGGAGGGCUGGAUCUCAUCGCAGCAGUGGGUGUGAGUGCUCAAUACCUGAACCUUUAAAACGCCGUGGUUCCAUUUUGAUGCCAGUGUAGAAUGCACCAGGCUUUCAUCAUCCCCCAGCUGAAGCCUGAACAGGAGGAACCUGCAGUGUGUCCCCUGAGUUGUCCGAGGGCUGGCAACAAGGUUGCAGUGAGGGAAAUGUAAGGCACGAAUUUCCUUCAGCUACCUGGUUCUUCACUGCUUUAGUAGAGGAGAGCAGAAGAGCAACAUACCUGAGCAACAUUUUGAGCUGAAGUGCCUGCACAGACUGCAGAAGGCAAGUCACUGCUGUGCAUCUCUGACUGUGCUGUAUCUUUGGAGAUGGAAUGGCUAAAAAAAUAGAAAUGAAAAACAAAGCAAAAGCCCCAAGAGCCAGCCUCCCCCAGCCUGGAUUUUAGUACACUGCACUAUAAAAAUACCUUUUCUGAUUUAGAGGUUUCUGUGUUUAAGACUGUGGUAGCUAAUAAAUCCCUGACAUCUGAACUGUUGGGAAGCAGCAUGCACAAUGAAACAAUAUUGUAGUUGCAGAGUGAUCAUAAUAUAUAUUUCUAAGGUUAGUUGUUCCACGUGUGUAUUUAAAAUUCUUUUGUUCUUUGCGUCUCCUCGCAAAUCUAAACAGUGCUCAGAUGAAAGCUGUGGAGUAGGAAUCUGACUUAAUGGUGCCUACUUGGCUCUGUAGCAGGGCUAUAAGAGGGUAAUAAAAUCCUUGUAGGAUUUGAUGAAAUCAGAUAGAAUGAAUGUAGCAUUAAAGAAAACAAAGGACCCAUAGAUAAGCUGAAUUCUUGUUUCACUUCAAUUAUUUCCCUUUUAAUCCAGUGUAAGAAGGAAAAAAAGAUGACAACUCUGGCUUACUGUUGUUUGAACACUGGGAUAAAGGUAGGGUCAGUGCCCAAGCCAACUGGAAAAUGAGAUUCUUUCUCAUGUUUUCACUCCAAGCUGAAUUGAAGCUUAUUUUCUGUUAGCUAGUGGGAAUCCUUUGUUGGCUUGAAUUAACAGCACUGCAAUCAGAGACCAGAGAAUUGCACAGUGUCCAUCUUACAUGAAAGCUUGCAAGAAUUUGUUGUAGAUCUGGCUGAGAAAUCUGUCUGUGAUGUCCAACAGCCCUCAGCAUCCAGAAGAGUUCUCUUACAUGACAGCACAGCAAGCUUCUUAAAAUGGGGUCUGGGAAUUUCUAAGGAUUUUGGAAUACACCCCACAAUACAAGGGGGCAUGUUAAAGCCUAUUAAGGGUCACUUAGAAUAAAAUGAGAUAAACUACAAUGGUAAUGCAAACAUUUUUGACUAAUUUGUUCUUGUUUCAAUGACCUCUUUGUAGUUAACUGUGUUGUGUUUGCGUGUAACUUGCAGAAAUGCCAGGCUUUGUUUUGGGGUUCACAAUGCACAAUACUUUUUCAAGCUGAUUUUCCUCAUGUUUUAAUCCUGAGCUAUGGAGUUAAUUUUAUUGGUUUGAAUUGUGAUGUCUAGCAUUAAUAACGCCUUUCAAAACAUCAUUACUAAGAUUUGCUAUAGGAACAGCACUGACAUUGAAACUCCUCUCUUACUCUUUCUGGAAACUAUGUAUGCACAAAGUGAAUGAGUCAAAAUUAAGACAUGCCAUCUGAUUAUAACUCAAUGGGUGGGAGGGACAAAGUCCUUGUGCUUUGAACUAGUUAGAUAUAAAUACAGAGCUAGCUGGCAAAGAUCUGCUCAGAGGAAUGGGAGGCCCCAGAUAGUGGGAAGUACUCCCAGUAUCCUAAAUAAUAGACACUUCAAUAUAAUUAUUAAGCCCAGUGUCCUCUGGGGAGAGAUUAAAGGAUAGCAGAGUGGUGCAGACUUCUAAGGGAGGAAAUAUUUCUUUUCAAGGAGAAAAAUGAGAGAAGACUCUAGAGUGAAAAUUAAGGAGGUAGAAAUCCUCAUAGUCAACAGAGGUUUACACUGUUUAAGCAUACUAUUGCAGGGCCAUAAAAGGCAUACAUGCAGUAUAUCUGUAGGCAAAGCAAAGUGAAACAAAGCAGAGGGUGAACAGAAAGUUACAUUUUGAGAUCUCGUUUAAUCAGAUAGGUCAGUUUCUUGUUCUGGAAGCUGAAGCUUGCUAGAAAUGAGCAUGGAGGAUGGCAAAUAAUUUGAGAGUGAGGAGAAGGACCAAGUACCAAGUAGCCAGUAAUGACAAAUAACAAGUUUUUAAAUGUAUUGAAAACUAGAAGCUACUUAUGGAGAGCAGUUAUGGCAAACAAGAAUUUGUUUUAUGAUGCUUUAUAAGAGCUCAGAAAGCUCAGAAUUUACAAUACUGAUGAUGUUAAACAGAAAUGUAUGUGUGUAUAGGUGUAAAACAACCAGGAGAAUCAGUCCCCUGGAAAAGGAAGAAAUCAGUGAGCUCCCCUCUUUCUUCCUAUCUUCUCCUUUAUGGACACACUUGCCUAUUCCCCUUGGAAGCAAUAGUAAGAUAAAGGAAUACUUAGGUCCCAUUAUUUACAAAAUAUAAGUAACUUUCACUUUGUUAAUACCCAAAGAAGGGUAUAUCCCAGGGCAGCUUUGGUUCAAGCACUGUGCAGUAUCUGAAUUCUUCAGUCAUUGCCUCUUCAGAGGUAAACACUUGACCUGUUGUAGCUGUUCUGUACAAAUCUUCUUUACAAAGAAAUUACUGAAUGACACAUCUUGAAAGGGGAGCAUCAGGCUGGGUGUUAGGAAAAGGUUCUGCACCAGAGGGUGGUGAGCAUGGAACAGCCCUGAGUUGCUGGAGCUCAAGAAGCAUUUAGACAACGCUCUCAGACACAGGGGUUGGGUUAGGGUGGUGCUGUCUGGAGCCAGGAGUUGGACUCAGUGAUCCUUGUGUGUCCCUUCUAACUCAGGAUUAUCUAUGAUUCUGUGAUAACCACGUGAUGUUUUAUUUACUUUUAUUUUUGUGAGAUAUAAUCAUGUUACUGCAAAAGGGUAAUUUGCCAUUCCUAGCCAGUUCAGAUCUGGUUUCUAUGCCUAAUCUACCAGCUGAGCAGGGAUAUGCUGAUGCAGGGGCAGCUGCAUAAUCCACAUCUCCAUGUGACCAGAGUCACCAGGUAGCCCUGGAGCUCAGCUGCAUGCCAUGCUCAGACCUGUCUGACCAUGACCCAGGAGGACUGAUGGGGAACCACUGUCCUCUUCAACCUCAAAUACCUUUGUGGACCGCUCCCGUUUCAUCAUUUUUCAUACAUCUUGCAACAUGAAAGUUUUGUUAUGAAGCUUACAGGACUGGGCAUUUUGGUCUGCUCUUUUAUGGUGCUGCUUUUUUUAUUAUUAUACAUACAGAUCUAAUGCUUUCUGGACAUAUACAUCUUCUGUUUUCAGUCUUCAUAACUUCUUGUUGGAGGAGGACUAAUAGUUCUUAGUUCUCUGUAGGCACUGGGGUUGA
Phasianus colchicus (ring-necked pheasant) is the source of this 5283-nucleotide long non-coding RNA. RefSeq lists it as uncharacterized. The record is from RefSeq and is a predicted model, not a curated record. NCBI's taxonomy places the organism in Eukaryota, Metazoa, Chordata, Aves, Galliformes, Phasianidae.